Molecule: long non-coding RNA, 972 nt
Organism: Lathyrus oleraceus (garden pea)
Lineage: Eukaryota; Viridiplantae; Streptophyta; Magnoliopsida; Fabales; Fabaceae
Exons: 2
Source: RefSeq, a predicted model, not a curated record
AAAAUGAACAUUCUAGAAUUAACUAAACAAUUUAACCAACUAGAACAUCAACUCUAAUUAAAUUCUAAACAAGAUUAAUUCUAAUUAACAUCCUUACUAAAACUCGAUACAAAUCGAGUCGGUAACGGAACCGCAUUGCACGGUGAACACUCACAGACUCGAAUCGGGGUCCGAUUCAAACUACAACAGACGACUCGAUCGGUGCGAAGAAAAAAAAGGAUCCUACCGGCGUUGGCGCGAGUUGAGGAUUCGUCGGAGAAGACGAUCGUCGUGGCAGCGACAUUAACGAAUGUAGUUCUCGUUCGUUCGUCCUCUUCUCAUCCGCGACGGAAUUCGAUUGCACACGACUUCUUGAUUUCUUUCGUGAUUUGCUCAGUCUUAUUCGAUUUGUGGAAUUGAUGUGGUUCAACCAGGGAUUGAAGAUGAUGAAUGACACCUUGAUGAGAACCGAGAUCGCUCUGAGAUAUUGAUUCCGGGAGAGUGUGAUUUUGGGAAGAGAAAAAUGGGAAGUUCAAGGAGAGGGUUCCAGAAGAAGAUUUCGAGAAGAAGAGAAAAGAAGAUUUCGGGAAGAGAUUGGAGAGAGCCAAAAAUCGCCGUGAAUCAAAGUAUUUAUAUCAUUUGCAAAUGGAUUCAGCUAGCUACCGUUCAUUUCCAAUUUCGAUUUGCUUUGGCUCUCAUUGCGUAUCCGGAUUGCAACAGACGUUCAUGCCGCCAUUAGGACGUUGCUUGGUGUACGUCGUCGUUUGGAAGCUCUGUGUCGGCUUAGCUUGGAACGUAGCCUUUACAGCUUUUGCUUUUCCAAAUUGCUCUUUUGUCUUAUCUAAUUAAUUAAUUGUUGGAUAAAUGGAUAUUGGAGAAAUUGAAUUAACUGAAUUGAUAAAUGGGUUUCAAGUGGCCUAAUGGACUUUGACCAAGAUGUAAAAAUCAAAAUGGAUUAAUAAUGGAUCAAAUAUGGAUUGUGGUUUUAGUUUA